RNAcentral lists this ribosomal RNA (600 nucleotides) under uncultured bacterium. RNAcentral describes it as "bacterial SSU rRNA". It matches the Rfam family "Bacterial small subunit ribosomal RNA", at positions 44 to 645 of the family's 1533-position model. The record is from RNAcentral.
GUGCUUACACAUGCAAGUCGAACGGUGAUGAAGAGCUUGCUCUUUGGAUCAGUGGCGAACGGGUGAGUAACACGUGAGCAAUCUGCCCUUGACUCUGGGAUAACUGCGGGAAACUGUAGCUAAUACCGGAUAUGGCCCAGGAAGGCAUCUUUUUGGGUGGAAAGAAUUUUGGUCAAGGAUGAGCUCGCGGCCUAUCAGCUAGUUGGUGAGGUAAUGGCUCACCAAGGCGACGACGGGUAGCCGGCCUGAGAGGGUGACCGGCCACACUGGGACUGAGACACGGCCCAAACUCCUACGGGAGGCAGCAGUGGGGAAUAUUGCACAAUGGGCGCAAGCCUGAUGCAGCAACGCCGCGUGAGGGACGACGGCCUUCGGGUUGUAAACCUCUUUUAGUAGGGAAGAAGCGACUGGGUUUUCCUGGGAGUGACGGUACCUGCAAAAAAAGCACCGGCUAACUACGUGCCAGCAGCCGCGGUAAUACGUAGGGUGCAAGCGUUGUCCGGAAUUAUUGGGCGUAAAGAGCUCGUAGGCGGUUUGUCGCGUCUGCUGUGAAAACCCGAGGCUCAACCUCGGGCCUGCAGUGGGUACGGGCAGACUAGA